RNAcentral lists this ribosomal RNA (253 nucleotides) under uncultured bacterium. RNAcentral's name for it is "partial 16S ribosomal RNA". It matches the Rfam family "Bacterial small subunit ribosomal RNA", at positions 524 to 776 of the family's 1533-position model. The record is from RNAcentral.
UACGUAGGGUGCAGGCGUUAAUCGGAAUUACUGGGCGUAAAGCGUGUGCAGGCGGUCUGCUAAGAGAGAUGUGAAAUCCCCGGGCUUAACCUGGGAACUGCGUUUCUAACUGGCAGGCUUGAGUGUGGCAGAGGGGAGUGGAAUUCCACGUGUAGCAGCGAAAUGCGUAGAGAUGUGGAGGAACACCGAUGGCAAAGGCAGCCCCCUGGGCUAACACUGACGCUCAUGCACGAAAGCGUGGGGAGCGAACAGG